This 609-nucleotide ribosomal RNA is filed under the name Cortinarius semisanguineus. Its description in RNAcentral is "eukaryotic LSU rRNA". It matches the Rfam family "Eukaryotic large subunit ribosomal RNA", at positions 1 to 609 of the family's 3401-position model. Lineage: Eukaryota; Fungi; Basidiomycota; Agaricomycetes; Agaricales; Cortinariaceae. The record is from RNAcentral.
GUGACCUCAAAUCAGGUAGGACUACCCGCUGAACUUAAGCAUAUCAAUAAGCGGAGGAAAAGAAACUAACAAGGAUUCCCCUAGUAACUGCGAGUGAAGCGGGAAAAGCUCAAAUUUAAAAUCUGACAGUCUUUGGCUGUCCGAGUUGUAAUCUAGAGAAGUGUUAUCCGCGCUGGACCGUGUACAAGUCUCCUGGAAUGGAGCGUCAUAGAGGGUGAGAAUCCCGUCUUUGACACGGACUACCAGGGCUUUGUGAUGCGCUCUCAAAGAGUCGAGUUGUUUGGGAAUGCAGCUCAAAAUGGGUGGUAAAUUCCAUCUAAAGCUAAAUAUUGGCGAGAGACCGAUAGCGAACAAGUACCGUGAGGGAAAGAUGAAAAGAACUUUGGAAAGAGAGUUAAACAGUACGUGAAAUUGCUGAAAGGGAAACGCUUGAAGUCAGUCGCGUUGUCCAGGGAUCAACCUUGCUUUUGCUUGGUGCACUUUCUGGUUGACGGGUCAGCAUCAAUUUUGACCAUUGGAAAAAGAUUAAGGGAAUGUGGCAUCUUUGGAUGUGUUAUAGCCCUUGGUUGCAUACGAUGAUUGGGAUUGAGGAACUCAGCACGCCGCAAG